RNAcentral lists this ribosomal RNA (327 nucleotides) under uncultured eukaryote. Its description in RNAcentral is "partial 18S ribosomal RNA". It matches the Rfam family "Eukaryotic small subunit ribosomal RNA", at positions 1470 to 1796 of the family's 1831-position model. The record is from RNAcentral.
CCCUUAGAUGUUCUGGGCCGCACGCGCGCUACACUGACGAAUGCAACGAGCUUAUAACCUUGGCCGAAAGGUCUGGGUAAUCUCCAAAUUUCGUCGUGAUGGGGAUAGAUUAUUGCAAUUAUUAAUCUUCAACGAGGAAUGCCUAGUAAGCGCAAGUCAUCAGCUUGCGUUGAUUACGUCCCUGCCCUUUGUCCACACCGCCCGUCGCUCCUACCGAUUGAAUGGUCCGGUGAAGCGUUCGGACCGUGGCCUUUGGACGGUUCGCCGUCUGUUGGCUGCGGGAAGUUCGUUAAACCUUAUCAUUUAGAGGAAGGAGAAGUCGUAACA